Molecule: long non-coding RNA, 781 nt
Organism: Malaya genurostris
Lineage: Eukaryota; Metazoa; Arthropoda; Insecta; Diptera; Culicidae
Exons: 3
Source: RefSeq, a predicted model, not a curated record
UGGCGGCCGAAACCUGUGGAUGAGGUUGUUCGAAUGGGUUUGGUUAGGAAUGUUAGUAGUGCGUUGAUAUUAUCUAGUGAGUGUGAUCUAUGUUAAUUCGCUCAAACUGCUGGAUGUGGCGGUGGCUGAGCCGAAAUCAUAUUUUUCUCGCUCGAGUAAACGCAGCGGUUGCGAUGAAUAUUCUAUGCCAAAGGCCGAAAUUAUUACAUUAAUUAACGAAAUGACAAAUAUUAGCACUAGUAUGAUGUCGUUUAGUAUGAUGGCUGUUGUUUGUUCCGGUUUUCGAUUAAUGUUCAGGCUACCGAUUACCACAAAUAAGAUCCCCACAAUGAGCUGAAAAGAUAGGAGCGCAUACCAGAACAGUAUUGGCGUAUUGUUUUUUAUCCAUCAAACAGUGCGGAUAAAGUAGUUUAAAGCGAUUUUUUCUAACAUGGCUUUUCGGCAAACAAUACAAAUGACAUAUUUGUUAGUCAUAUCGCUUCAUUCAACGACAUACUUCAAAACCCUAGGAUCAAACGCAGAUAUCAUCAAAUUUACCAUGGCAACCAGAAAGGCAGCUCCAGUUACUAUGUAAUUGAUGACAGUAGUCGACCGAUGGUAUUCCGGCCUAUGCAGCCGGCAGUCGCGAAGUAAGCUCAGAGACAGAUUUAGCACACCCAUUGUGACCUUUCACCAUCAAAAGGGGAAGGAAUGUUAGCGUAUAGGGGAUUUCAAGAUACCACGUGUUAGUGCUGGUGAAGGUUUACUGGAUGAUGAUGGGGAAGUGAAAACACUUACCUGU